Molecule: ribosomal RNA, 2107 nt
Filed under: human gut metagenome
Description: bacterial LSU rRNA
Rfam family: Bacterial large subunit ribosomal RNA
Source: RNAcentral
GAAAGUAAGAAAGGGCGUAUGGCGGAUGCCUAGGCUCACGGAGGCGAUGAAGGACGUGAUAAGCUGCGAUAAGCUUCGGGUAGGUGCAAAUAACCUUUGAUCCGGAGAUUUCCGAAUGGGACAACCUAGCCGUCUGAAGGACGGUUACUCUUACCAAUGUAAGAGAGCUAACGCAGGGAACUGAAACAUCUUAGUACCUGCAGGAAGAGAAAAUAAAUGAAUGAUUCCCCCAGUAGUGGCGAGCGAACGGGGAACAGCCCAAACCGUUGACGUCGCAAGGCGCCAGCGGGGUUGUAGGACCGCGACAUUGUACUGAAAUGGUGAGUGGAAGUAUCUGGAAAGUUACAUCACAGAAGGUGAUAAUCCUGUACACGAAGCCAAAUCAAGCAUAGCGGUAUCCUGAGUAACGCGGGACACGAGGAAUCCUGCGCGAAUCUGCCGGGACCAUCCGGUAAGGCUAAAUACUCCCGUGAGACCGAUAGCGAACGAGUACUGUGAAGGAAAGGUGAAAAGAACCCCGAGCAGGGGAGUGAAAUAGUUCCUGAAACCAUACGCCUACAAGCGGUCGGAGCAUCGCAAGAUGUGACGGCGUGCCUUUUGCAUAAUGAUCCUACGAGUUACCGUCACUGGCGAGGUUGAGUGUCACGAGACACGUAGCCGCAGUGAAAGCGAGCCUGAAGAGGGCGCACAGUCAGUGGGGGUAGACGCGAAACCAAGUGAUCUACACUUGGCCAGGAUGAAGUCCCGGUAACACGGGAUGGAGGUCCGCACCAAUAAGCGUUGAAAAGCUUCUGGAUGAGCCGAGUGUAGGAGUGAAAGGCCAAUCAAACUUGGAGAUAGCUCGUACUCCCCGAAAGGCAUUUAGGUGCCGCGUCGGAUGGUCACCGUGAGAGGUAGAGCGACCGAUAGGACAAGAGGGCUUCACCGCCUAUCGAGUCCUGACGAACUCCGAAUGCUCACGGUCUGCAGUCCGGCAGUAAGGGGGCGGGUGCUAAGGUCCGUCCCCGAGAGGAGAAGAAUCCAGACCGUCAUCUAAGGUCCCGAAAUUCUGUCUAAGUUAGUCUAACGAAGUGUGGUCCCCGUGACAGCUAGGAUGUUGGCUUGGAAGCAGCCAUUCAUUCAAAGAGUGCGUAACAGCUCACUAGUCGAGGGUCCGGGCAUGGAUAAUAAUCGGGUAUAAGGCAGACACCGAAGGCGCGGGAUAGCAAUUAUAAAAGUAUCGGUAGGGGAGCAUACUCACAGCGUCGAAUGGUGUACGUAAGUUAUCCUGGAGCGGUGAGUAAAGCAAAUGUAGGAAUAAGUAACGAUAAGGAGGGUUAGAUUCCCUCCCGCUGUAAGACCAAGGUUUCCCGGGCAAUGCCAAUCAGCCCGGGGUCAGUCGGGUCCUAAGUCUAAGCCGAACGGCGAUGGCGAUGGCAGAGACGGUUAAUAUUCCGUCACUGCCGCAUGGGGCGACGUGGAGACGGAGCAGUGAAACCACCGCGGGGCGACGGAAGUCCCCGUUGAAGAGUGUAGGUGUUGAGGAUGGCAGGCAAAUCCACCAUCCGAGCUGAACUUGACAGUAUGGAGUCUUCUUCGGAAGAAUCCAAUAGUGUGGGUAAUCAUACUCCCGAGAAAAUCCGCUAAGCUUAACCCAUGCGGCACCCGUACCGCAAACGGACACACGUGGUCGGGUAGAACAUACUAAGGCGUUGAGAGAUUCAUGGUUAAGGAACUAGGCAAAUUGACCCUGUAACUUCGGGAUAAAGGGUCCUCGUGAUGAGCGAGGCGCAGAGAAUAGGUCCAGGCAACUGUUUAACAAAAACACAGGGCUGUGCAAACUCGAAAGAUGAGGUAUACAGCCUGACACCUGCCCGGUGCCGGAAGGUUAAGAGGAGAUGUCACUCUUUGGGAGGAAGCAUUGAAUUGAAGCCCCGGUAAACGGCGGCCGUAACUAUAACGGUCCUAAGGUAGCGAAAUUCCUUGUCGGGUAAGUUCCGACCUGCACGAAUGGUGUAAUGAUCUGGACACUGUCUCAACCGUGAGCUCAGUGAAAUUGUAGUAUCGGUGAAGAUGCCGAUUACCCGCGAUGGGACGAAAAGACCCCGUGAACCUUUACUAUAGCUUA